CAGUAUUAUAUGCUGAUGUUAAAGAUUAAGCCAUGCAUGUGUAAGUAUAAAGUCCAAGAAGGAUGAAACUGCGAACGGCUCAUUAGAACAGUUAUAGUUUCUUCGAUUAGUAAGUACAAGGAUAGCUUUGUGAAUGAUAAAGAUAAUACUUGAGACGAUCUUAUUUGUAGAGAUACAAAUAGGCCUCUAAAUUAUUAAUAAUUUAGAGAGGAAAGAUAUUUGGGAAGAAAACAAAUACCAUGACAAUUGUAGUAUAGCAAUAUAUAACAAGUAAUCGAUGAGAAUAUCUGAUCUAUCAACUAGUUGGUAGUAUCGAGGACUACCAAGGUAAUAACGGAUAACGAGGAAUUAGGGUUUGACAUCGGAGAGGGAGCUUUAAAGAUGGCUACCACUUCCAAGGAAGGCAGCAGGCGCGUAAAUUACCCAAUUUCAACAAAUAGAAGAGGUAGUGACGACAAAUAACUCACGAGAUGGGAAACCAUUUCUUGAAGGAAUGAGUAAGAUACAAAAGAUCUUACGAAAUCAAUUGGAGGGCAAGUCUGGUGCCAGCAGCCGCGGUAAUUCCAGCUCCAAUAGUGUAUAUUAAAGUUGUUGUGAUUAAAACGCUCGUAGUUGAAUGUAAAAGCAUAUAUAUCUUGAUUGUAGUUUAACUUUAAGUUAAAAUGCAUGAUAGAUGCUAAAAUAUAUGUAUUAAGGAAUGAUUGUAUGUGAUGCAUACAAUUGUUAAUUACUUUGAAAAAAUUAGAGUGCUUAAAGCGAAUUUAUUAAAGAAUAAUGAAGCAUGGGACAAUAUAAAAGGAGAUUGGAGCAAUCCAAUGUCGAGGAAAAAAGAUUAAGAGGAAUAAUUGGGGUAAUUCAGAAAAUAACGGGAGAGGUGAAAAUUCAUGAUCGUUAUAAGAUGAACUAGAGCGAAAGCAUUUUACUCAAUUAUGUUCAUUAAUCAAGAACGAAAGUUAGGGGAUCGAAGACGAUCAGAUACCGUCGUAGUCCUAACUAUAAACGAUGUCAACGAAGGAUUGGAUAAAACUAAAGAAUUGUAAUGAAUAGUUAGCUUUGCUAAAUGUUCAAUAUAAUUCAAAACAACCUUAUUCAGAACUUGAAGAGAAAUCUUGAGUUAAUGGACUUCAGGGGGAGUAUGGUCACAAGGCUGAAACUUAAAGGAAUUGACGGAAGGGCACACAAGGAGUGGAGCCUGCGGCUUAAUUUGACUCAACACGGGAAAACUUACCAAGACCGAACAUUAUAAGGAAUGACAGAUUAAGAGUUCUUUCAUGAUUUGAUGGUGAGUGGUGCAUGGCCGUUCUUAGUUGGUGGUAUGAAUUGUCAGGUUAAUUCCGGUAACGAACGAGACUGAAACCUAUUAAUUAGUUCAAUACCUAUAAGAUAUUGAUGUUAGCAAUAACAGAUUAUUAAUCACUUCUUAAAGGGACACAUUUCAAUUGUUCUCUAAUUACAAAUAAUUGGACGCAAGUUCAAUCUUGUAAUCGGAGAAAAAAGAAAAAGGAAGCAUUCAGCAUUAACAGGUCUGUGAUGCCCUUAGACAUCUUGGGCUGCACGCGCGCUACAAUGAAGACACUAGAAAGUAAUAGUUAUAUGUAAAAAUAUAGUGCGUAUAUUGGUUUCCAAUAUUGUAUUAUAAUCUUUUACAUAAACCAAAACCGUAAGGUGGAGGAAAACUUAAAACAUCGUACAUGACUGGGAUAAAUGAUUGGAAUUAUUUGUUUUGAACGAGGAAUUCCUUGUAAUAUCAUGUCAUCAACAUGAGAUGAAUACGUCCCUGCCCUUUGUACACACCGCCCGUCGCUCCUACCGAUUGAAUAAAGAGGUGAAAUUCUAAGACUUUGUCACUUGUGAUGAGGAAAUGGAUUUAAAUCUCCUUAUUUAGAGGAAGGAGAAGUCGUAACAAGGUUUCCGUAGGUGAACCUG
RNAcentral lists this ribosomal RNA (1926 nucleotides) under Entamoeba sp. RL10. RNAcentral describes it as "bacterial SSU rRNA". It matches the Rfam family "Eukaryotic small subunit ribosomal RNA". The record is from RNAcentral. Lineage: Eukaryota; Evosea; Mastigamoebida; Endamoebidae.